GAUGAACGCUGGCGGCGUGCUUAACACAUGCAAGUCGAACGAAGCACCUUAUUCUGAUUUCUUCGGAAUGAAAAAUUUGGUGACUGAGUGGCGGACGGGUGAGUAACGCGUGGGUAACCUGCCUCAUACAGGGGGAUAACAGUUAGAAAUGACUGCUAAUACCGCAUAAGACCACAGCACCGCAUGGUGCAGGGGUAAAAACUCCGGUGGUAUGAGAUGGACCCGCGUCUGAUUAGGUAGUUGGUGGGGUAAGGGCCUACCAAGCCGACGAUCAGCAGCCGACCUGAGAGUGUGACCGGCCACAUGGGGACUGAGACACGGCCCAAACUCCUACGGGAGGCAGCAGUGGGGAAUAUUGCACAAUGGGGGAAACCCUGAUGCAGCGACGCCGCGUGAGCGAUGAAGUAUUUCGGUAUGUAAAGCUCUAUCAGCAGGGAAGAAAAUGACGGUACCUGACUAAGAAGCACCGGCUAAAUACGUGCCAGCCGCCGCGGUAA
RNAcentral lists this ribosomal RNA (497 nucleotides) under uncultured bacterium. RNAcentral's name for it is "partial 16S ribosomal RNA". It matches the Rfam family "Bacterial small subunit ribosomal RNA", at positions 28 to 523 of the family's 1533-position model. The record is from RNAcentral.